GAUGAACGCUGGCGGCGUGCCUAAUACAUGCAAGUCGAGCGAACGGACGAGAGGCUUGCUUCUCUGAUGUUAGCGGCGGACGGGUGAGUAACACGUGGAUAACCUACCUAUAAGACUGGGAUAACUUCGGGAAACCGGAGCUAAUACCGGAUAAUAUUUUGAACCGCAUGGUUCAAAAGUGAAAGACGGUCUUGCUGUCACUUAUAGAUGGAUCCGCGCUGCAUUAGCUAGUUGGUAAGGUAACGGCUUACCAAGGCAACGAUGCAUAGCCGACCUGAGAGGGUGAUCGGCCACACUGGAACUGAGACACGGUCCAGACUCCUACGGGAGGCGGCAGUAGGGAAUCUUCCGCAAUGGGCGAAAGCCUGACGGAGCAACGCCGCGUGAGUGAUGAAGGUCUUCGGAUCGUAAAACUCUGUUAUUAGGGAAGAACAUAUGUGUAAGUAACUGUGCACAUCUUGACGGUACCUAAUCAGAAAGCCACGGCUAACUACGUG
This 497-nucleotide ribosomal RNA is filed under the name uncultured bacterium. Its description in RNAcentral is "partial 16S ribosomal RNA". It matches the Rfam family "Bacterial small subunit ribosomal RNA", at positions 28 to 507 of the family's 1533-position model. The record is from RNAcentral.